This is a non-coding RNA of Durio zibethinus, 702 nucleotides long. Lineage: Eukaryota; Viridiplantae; Streptophyta; Magnoliopsida; Malvales; Malvaceae. The record is from RefSeq and is a predicted model, not a curated record.
CUUUGGUUAAAAUUUCGAAAGAUUGGAAUUCUGCACAAACUAAGAGUACUGAAGACAAUGCCAAAGAUUUCGACAUAAAUGAUGGUGAUCCAUCUUUAGACAAUUGGUUGGAGUUACAAUGCUUCGCUUCUGAGUCUGCUGGUGAAGAAGCAGAGAGCAUGGAAGCUUCGGUGUGCAGUCGGAACAUGUUGGAAACAUCAAAAUGAAGCCAGAAAAGCAUAAGGAGGUGGGAAGGCAAUAAGGAUGAUUGUACUUACCCUUGAUUUAUUUUUAUUUUUCAUCUUGAUUGGAAUCUGGAAAGGAUGCCAGGCAAAACUCGACAUUUUGCUUUACUUUUGCGCUUGGAAUCUCCCUCCAGUGUUCACAAACUGACGAACCAAAGGAGUUCCCUUCUUCCUUUGCGUUGCUUUCAUUUGCUGUCUUGCUUACAUUUGCCCUUCACUUGGUUGCAUUUUUUAUCUGCCAAAAACAUGCCAGAACUUCCAUAAUGUUAGAAAAAGUUGCUCUGCUCCUAGCCGCAGCUGCAUUUUGCCAUGCCAUUACAUUUGCUUUUCCGUUGAACCUAAAAUUUGCUACAUGGACUCUAUGUUUCCUUUCCUUGUUUGUUAUAGUGAUUUGAAAAUUCUUGUGUGGAAACAUUCAUCCAUGAUUCUAGUAGAGCUAGUGCAUAUAUAGUUGUUAUGUAUGUACUUUAUCAAUAUG